GAUGAACGCUGGCGGCGUGCCUAAUACAUGCAAGUCGAGCGAACAGAUGAGGAGCUUGCUCCUCUGACGUUAGCGGCGGACGGGUGAGUAACACGUGGAUAACCUACCUAUAAGACUGGGAUAACUUCGGGAAACCGGAGCUAAUACCGGAUAAUAUAUUGAACCGCAUGGUUCAAUAGUGAAAGACGGUUUUGCUGUCACUUAUAGAUGGAUCCGCGCCGCAUUAGCUAGUUGGUAAGGUAACGGCUUACCAAGGCGACGAUGCGUAGCCGACCUGAGAGGGUGAUCGGCCACACUGGAACUGAGACACGGUCCAGACUCCUACGGGAGGCAGCAGUAGGGAAUCUUCCGCAAUGGGCGAAAGCUUGACGGAGCAACGCCGCGUGAGUGAUGAAGGUCUUCGGAUCGUAAAACUCUGUUAUUAGGGAAGAUCAAAUGUGUAAGUAACUAUGCACGUCUUGACGGUACCUAAUCAGAAAGCCACGGCUAACUACGUG
This 497-nucleotide ribosomal RNA is filed under the name uncultured bacterium. Its description in RNAcentral is "partial 16S ribosomal RNA". It matches the Rfam family "Bacterial small subunit ribosomal RNA", at positions 28 to 507 of the family's 1533-position model. The record is from RNAcentral.